RNAcentral lists this ribosomal RNA (159 nucleotides) under Hormodochis aggregata. RNAcentral's name for it is "partial 18S ribosomal RNA". Lineage: Eukaryota; Fungi; Ascomycota. The record is from RNAcentral.
CAGCUGGGGACAACCCGCAGCCGGACCUCUUGCGUCCGGCCCACAGACUAAAUGUUGAUGGGUCCGCGCCCCCAUGCGGAUUUUCGAUAUAGUCGGUCGUCGGGGCAUACACCCCCCUCGAGCAAACGUUCCGUAGGUGAACCUGCGGAAGGAUCAUUA